CUAACAUGUAUGCGAGUGUUUGGGUGUCAAGCCCGAGCGCGCAAUAAAAGUGAACGGAGGUGGGAUCCCUUGCGGGUGCACCAUCGACCGAUCCUGAGGUCUUUGGGUGGAUUUGAGUAAGAGCAUGGCUGUUGGGACCCGGAAGAUGGUGAGCUAUGCUAGACUAGGGUGAAGCCAGAGGAAACUCUGGUGGAGGCUCGCAGCGGUUCCGACGUGCAAAUCGAUUAGACUAAUCAACUGUCACAGUCAGCAAAUCUGCGUAUAGCUGA
RNAcentral lists this non-coding RNA (269 nucleotides) under Pyrenochaeta sp. DS3sAY3a. Its description in RNAcentral is "Eukaryotic large subunit ribosomal RNA". It matches the Rfam family "Eukaryotic large subunit ribosomal RNA", at positions 675 to 934 of the family's 3401-position model. Lineage: Eukaryota; Fungi; Ascomycota; Dothideomycetes; Pleosporales; Cucurbitariaceae. The record is from Rfam by way of RNAcentral.